CCUACGGGAGGCAGCAGUAGGGAAUCUUCCACAAUGGGUGCAAGCCUGAUGGAGCAACACCGCGUGAGUGAAGAAGGGUUUCGGCUCGUAAAGCUCUGUUGUUGGAGAAGAACGUGCGUGAGAGUAACUGUUCACGCAGUGACGGUAUCCAACCAGAAAGUCACGGCUAACUACGUGCCAGCAGCCGCGGUAAUACGUAGGUGGCAAGCGUUAUCCGGAUUUAUUGGGCGUAAAGCGAGCGCAGGCGGUUGCUUAGGUCUGAUGUGAAAGCCUUCGGCUUAACCGAAGAAGUGCAUCGGAAACCGGGCAACUUGAGUGCAGAAGAGGACAGUGGAACUCCAUGUGUAGCGGUGGAAUGCGUAGAUAUAUGGAAGAACACCAGUGGCGAAGGCGGCUGUCUGGUCUGCAACUGACGCUGAGGCUCGAAAGCAUGGGUAGCGAACAGGAUUAGAUACCCGAGUAGUC
Molecule: ribosomal RNA, 465 nt
Filed under: uncultured bacterium
Lineage: Bacteria
Description: partial 16S ribosomal RNA
Rfam family: Bacterial small subunit ribosomal RNA
Source: RNAcentral